AGGGAGUCAGCCUGUUCGAUGACACAUCUGCAGGGGGUGACUUAACUGAACCAACUCAAUGUUUCUAUACCCAGUGGCAUCUCUUUUGCACAUCUUCAUUUUGGAGCCUGGGAUGACUGCCUAGGCUGCUUAUGCUAGACCUGUUAAUGCCAGUGUGAAAUUUCCAACUAAAUACUUAAUAAAAUAAUUACAAAAAGAAAAAAAAAGACACAUUGCACUCUCCAGCCAGAAUAAUGUGUGUGAAUGACACACACACUUGCUGCCAGAAGCUGUGAGUCCCUUGGGACCUGCCCAUUGCCAAGGACUUGUUCAAUGGAGACAGCUUGCCUGGUAUUUUUUUUUUUCUCUAACCCCAUGUUAUUUAGUUCAAGUGGGAAGUUACCAACAAUUGCAUACACAGACACGCACGCGCACACACACACACGCACACAUUCUCAACACAUGGCCCUCAAAAAAGUGAGGGAAUCUUAAUUAUUUAGCAAUGUGGACAGUUCUCUUCCCAGAGAGCUCUGCAUUGAGAUUCUCAGACUGAAUAUCUAGAUGGAUAUACACCAAGGGAGAGACCCGCACAGGGCACAGUCCCAUUCUGGGCACAGAGAUCUGUGUCUGUGCAGAAAUUCACCAAAUAGGGGGUUGGAGCAGCAAGCAUACAGUACUGGAGGUGGAGGGAACAAGCCACAGGGACGUCCCUGUCACCUUGAGGGGCAGAGCUCUGAGGCUCCAACCCAGAGGAAACUUCCCCUUCUGUUGCUUUCUCUACUGGUGCUGAGGAAGGAGGCCAGAUUGGUACCUGUUGUGGGAAGUUCUGUCUGCAGAGAAACUUGAAUACACCCCCGACUCUUCCCAGAGCAGAAUUUGUACGGACUGUCUGGGUGUGGAGCCCAGGCAGGGCUCACUCCUCAGGCCGAAGUCGCUGAGAUGAAUGGGCAGCCCAGGCUCAGCCCCAGGCCCUGCUGCAGGCUUGUGGGAAUUGGUGUCUCACCAGGGUGUGCGUGGCUCAAGGUUCUCACAUCCCCCAAAAAGAUCUGGUGACUUCUAGGCUUCCUGCCUAGAAACUGAACUGAGGGCACCCAGUUUUAGAAAGAUUCAAACAUACACCAGAAGGAUCAUAGCCCAAACAUCAGGACACUGGGGUGAGAGAGGGCUGCUGGGAGUCAUUUUUAGGCCAGGUCUCUCUGAGCAGCUGGCUGCACAACAGAAAUCAAAACAAGGAACAGCUCCCGAGGGCCUGCUUCUGCUCCAGGGACUGGGGCCCAGAGGUCAAGGGCCCCAUGCCUGAAUCCCUUUCUUCUGGGUGGAUCUGGCACGGACCCCUAUCAUCUUCCCAAGGAAGGGGGAGAGGAGAACACUACAAGAUCAAACUCCACCAACCCACCCACCUGUUCCACAGCUAGGAUUCCUUCAGCACCCCUCUCCCUGCCUCUUGCUCUCUGAGUGCCACUGGUAUUCCCUCCAUUGUCCCCAACGAGCCCUGGCAUCCAUCUUGGUAAUAUUGCACUUUUCCUGUCUCUCAGAUUGUUUCCAUUUUUGAUUGAGAAUGCAAGGUAUUUGGAGGGGUAGGGGAAGUGAGUAACCUUAAAGAAAUAAUAUAUUAGUUAAAUACAGUAACAGGAAAAAUAGGGGUUAUUUUAUCUUUUUCCCCUUAUUAAAAACAAAAACU
RNAcentral lists this long non-coding RNA (1660 nucleotides) under Pongo abelii (Sumatran orangutan). Its description in RNAcentral is "lncRNA (ENSPPYG00000038570.1)". The record is from RNAcentral. Lineage: Eukaryota; Metazoa; Chordata; Mammalia; Primates; Hominidae.